UUAAGCGACUAAGCGUACACGGUGGAUGCCCUGGCAGUCAGAGGCGAUGAAGGACGUGCUAAUCUGCGAUAAGCGUCGGUAAGGUGAUAUGAACCGUUAUAACCGGCGAUUUCCGAAUGGGGAAACCCAGUGUGAUUCGUCACACUAUCAUUAACUGAAUCCAUAGGUUAAUGAGGCGAACCGGGGGAACUGAAACAUCUAAGUACCCCGAGGAAAAGAAAUCAACCGAGAUUCCCCCAGUAGCGGCGAGCGAACGGGGAGGAGCCCAGAGCCUGAAUCAGUGUGUGUGUUAGUGGAAGCGUCUGGAAAGGCGCGCGAUACAGGGUGACAGCCCCGUACACAAAAAUGCACAUGCUGUGAGCUCGAUGAGUAGGGCGGGACACGUGGUAUCCUGUCUGAAUAUGGGGGGACCAUCCUCCAAGGCUAAAUACUCCUGACUGACCGAUAGUGAACCAGUACCGUGAGGGAAAGGCGAAAAGAACCCCGGCGAGGGGAGUGAAAAAGAACCUGAAACCGUGUACGUACAAGCAGUGGGAGCACGCUUAGGCGUGUGACUGCGUACCUUUUGUAUAAUGGGUCAGCGACUUAUAUUCUGUAGCAAGGUUAACCGAAUAGGGGAGCCGAAGGGAAACCGAGUCUUAACUGGGCGUUAAGUUGCAGGGUAUAGACCCGAAACCCGGUGAUCUAGCCAUGGGCAGGUUGAAGGUUGGGUAACACUAACUGGAGGACCGAACCGACUAAUGUUGAAAAAUUAGCGGAUGACUUGUGGCUGGGGGUGAAAGGCCAAUCAAACCGGGAGAUAGCUGGUUCUCCCCGAAAGCUAUUUAGGUAGCGCCUCGUGAAUUCAUCUCCGGGGGUAGAGCACUGUUUCGGCAAGGGGGUCAUCCCGACUUACCAACCCGAUGCAAACUGCGAAUACCGGAGAAUGUUAUCACGGGAGACACACGGCGGGUGCUAACGUCCGUCGUGAAGAGGGAAACAACCCAGACCGCCAGCUAAGGUCCCAAAGUCAUGGUUAAGUGGGAAACGAUGUGGGAAGGCCCAGACAGCCAGGAUGUUGGCUUAGAAGCAGCCAUCAUUUAAAGAAAGCGUAAUAGCUCACUGGUCGAGUCGGCCUGCGCGGAAGAUGUAACGGGGCUAAACCAUGCGCCGAAGCUGCGGCAGCGACGCUUAUGCGUUGUUGGGUAGGGGAGCGUUCUGUAAGCCUGUGAAGGUGUGCUGUGAGGCAUGCUGGAGGUAUCAGAAGUGCGAAUGCUGACAUAAGUAACGAUAAAGCGGGUGAAAAGCCCGCUCGCCGGAAGACCAAGGGUUCCUGUCCAACGUUAAUCGGGGCAGGGUGAGUCGACCCCUAAGGCGAGGCCGAAAGGCGUAGUCGAUGGGAAACAGGUUAAUAUUCCUGUACUUGGUGUUACUGCGAAGGGGGGACGGAGAAGGCUAUGUUGGCCGGGCGACGGUUGUCCCGGUUUAAGCGUGUAGGCUGGUUUUCCAGGCAAAUCCGGAAAAUCAAGGCUGAGGCGUGAUGACGAGGCACUACGGUGCUGAAGCAACAAAUGCCCUGCUUCCAGGAAAAGCCUCUAAGCAUCAGGUAACAUCAAAUCGUACCCCAAACCGACACAGGUGGUCAGGUAGAGAAUACCAAGGCGCUUGAGAGAACUCGGGUGAAGGAACUAGGCAAAAUGGUGCCGUAACUUCGGGAGAAGGCACGCUGAUAUGUAGGUGAAGUCCCUCGCGGAUGGAGCUGAAAUCAGUCGAAGAUACCAGCUGGCUGCAACUGUUUAUUAAAAACACAGCACUGUGCAAACACGAAAGUGGACGUAUACGGUGUGACGCCUGCCCGGUGCCGGAAGGUUAAUUGAUGGGGUUAGCCGCAAGGCGAAGCUCUUGAUCGAAGCCCCGGUAAACGGCGGCCGUAACUAUAACGGUCCUAAGGUAGCGAAAUUCCUUGUCGGGUAAGUUCCGACCUGCACGAAUGGCGUAAUGAUGGCCAGGCUGUCUCCACCCGAGACUCAGUGAAAUUGAACUCGCUGUGAAGAUGCAGUGUACCCGCGGCAAGACGGAAAGACCCCGUGAACCUUUACUAUAGCUUGACACUGAACAUUGAGCCUUGAUGUGUAGGAUAGGUGGGAGGCUUUGAAGUGUGGACGCCAGUCUGCAUGGAGCCGACCUUGAAAUACCACCCUUUAAUGUUUGAUGUUCUAACGUUGACCCGUAAUCCGGGUUGCGGACAGUGUCUGGUGGGUAGUUUGACUGGGGCGGUCUCCUCCUAAAGAGUAACGGAGGAGCACGAAGGUUGGCUAAUCCUGGUCGGACAUCAGGAGGUUAGUGCAAUGGCAUAAGCCAGCUUGACUGCGAGCGUGACGGCGCGAGCAGGUGCGAAAGCAGGUCAUAGUGAUCCGGUGGUUCUGAAUGGAAGGGCCAUCGCUCAACGGAUAAAAGGUACUCCGGGGAUAACAGGCUGAUACCGCCCAAGAGUUCAUAUCGACGGCGGUGUUUGGCACCUCGAUGUCGGCUCAUCACAUCCUGGGGCUGAAGUAGGUCCCAAGGGUAUGGCUGUUCGCCAUUUAAAGUGGUACGCGAGCUGGGUUUAGAACGUCGUGAGACAGUUCGGUCCCUAUCUGCCGUGGGCGCUGGAGAACUGAGGGGGGCUGCUCCUAGUACGAGAGGACCGGAGUGGACGCAUCACUGGUGUUCGGGUUGUCAUGCCAAUGGCACUGCCCGGUAGCUAAAUGCGGAAGAGAUAAGUGCUGAAAGCAUCUAAGCACGAAACUUGCCCCGAGAUGAGUUCUCCCUGACUCCUUGAGAGUCCUGAAGGAACGUUGAAGACGACGACGUUGAUAGGCCGGGUGUGUAAGCGCAGCGAUGCGUUGAGCUAACCGGUACUAAUGAACCGUGAGGCUUAACCUU
This 2904-nucleotide ribosomal RNA is filed under the name Escherichia coli. RNAcentral describes it as "bacterial LSU rRNA". It matches the Rfam family "Bacterial large subunit ribosomal RNA". Lineage: Bacteria; Pseudomonadati; Pseudomonadota; Gammaproteobacteria; Enterobacterales; Enterobacteriaceae. The record is from RNAcentral.